This 1949-nucleotide long non-coding RNA is filed under the name Sus scrofa (pig). Its description in RNAcentral is "lncRNA (ENSSSCG00015077665.1)". The record is from RNAcentral. Lineage: Eukaryota; Metazoa; Chordata; Mammalia; Artiodactyla; Suidae.
CUUUGGGGACCAGCUCUCGGGAAGAAAGGACUGCAGGAUGGAGGAGGGUUUUGACUUGCCCUGGUGUGUGUGUGUAAACUGGGAUCCAGAGUUUGACAGCAGAGGAGAGACUUCUGGUGUGAAGAGCAGAGCGAUUCUGGUCCCCUAGGGAGUACACUUGAUAAGCAAGAGACCAGGUACAGAUUCUUUCAGAUCUUACAGUUCUCAAAGAGCAAGCAAAUGUCCUCUUUCCAAGCCUCACAUUUAGACUGACUGCUGGCAGAUAGAAAACUUCUUGAAGGAGGCCUCGGCUUUGAAGGUUUGUUGUAAGACCGUAACACCUAACUCAGGGGUGGAAGUGGGUGCUCUGCCUUAGCCUUCCCAUGGUUACACCAAGAGGAUCUGGACGACCACUGCUCCUGAGAGGCCAAUGUUUCUACUUCGUGGCUUUAACCAGUGUGCUCUGGCUGCCAUCUGCACAGACCCGAGAGUCUUUUCUUCCACAGAGGUUUCACCUUCAACUGCCUACAGCAUUUGGUCUCUUCUGGAGGAAUUUAAGAGGGCCGUACCAGCAGCACAUCAAGGAUCACAGCCUAGGGGUCUAAAAGGAGCUACAGCUGCCGGCCUACUCCACAGCCACAGCAGCGCAGGAUCCAAGCCGAGUCUGCGACGUACACCACAUCUCACGGCAACUAAAGAUCCUUAAUCCACAUAGCGAGGCCAGGGAUCGAACUCUCGACCUCAUGGUUCCUAGUCAGAUUCGUUUCCACUUCACCACAAUGGGAACUCCAAGGAUCCUAAACUUCGUGAAGGCAGAAUGCUCGCUUAACUCAUUUCUGUAUUCGUCCCACAAAUUUUAUUGAGCUUUGUAAGUGCACAAAAAGGAGUUGUUAACAAAUAAAUGAUGAGCAGAGUGAAUUCACCUAGACCUAAGGAGAUGGGGCUUCCAUGAGGGCAGGGAUGAGGUGCUCUAUCUCCAUUAAUCUGAGGUGAGGAUGUGGGCAGGGAAUCCCCAUCAGCUGCAGAGAUGGCUGCAAAGUGGUGAGAAUGGGCUGACAGACCAAACGUUGCAAGUUCUGUAGAGGACUGUCACCAACCUUUGGAGAUUCCAGCUUUAGAUAAUUUUUUCUCAUGAUAUUCAUCAAAUAUUCAUUAUUGGGAGUAGAAAAUUUCCCAGUCUCUGGGGCCAUCUUUUUAUGUACUAAGAGCCCUGUUUCUGAAUGGAACUCUCUCACCUCUGGCCCCACCCUAUUAUUAAGGGUUGGCUAGAAUCCAUGUGUCCUUUGGACUAGGAAGCUGCAUAACCGAUGGUAAAUGCCUCCCCCUUUUGUCACCCCAGCAGUUCCAGGCUGAGUCAUUUUCUAAAUAAGCCACUUGUGGUUUUUGGUCUGACAUCACAUGUGGAAGACUGAGUAAUUUUUUAAGAACCAGAAUUAUAGUCGAUCAGAAUAAGAUACAUUGUGUACAUUACUCAUGGUUCUAGGACAAGGGGUCAACGCUGGUAACAAGUACCCUAAGCUUCUCCUACCCCUCCUUUCCCUGGGGCUGAGGGACAGGGAGAAGGCCAAGGAAGGAGGUGGGGAUGGAUAUGAAGAAUUUUUGUGUGCAUCUCUAAUUUUGUUAAUACAUUAUGUACAGUAAAAUUAUAUCUUGUUGCCACUUCCAGAUUAAAUAAAAGUAAUAUAGCAAAGUAGGUAAGGCCUGGGGGCUCUGCUGCUUGGGUUCAAAUCCCAGCUUCACCACAUACCAGUUGGGCAAGUUACUGAUUCUUGAUUCGCCUGCAUUUCCUCAUUUAUAAAAUAAUAGUAUCUAUGAUGUAGGGUUGUUGUCAGGAAUAAAUGAAUUGAUAUAUGUUGAGUGCUUAGAAUUGUCUGGAACUUAGUAAGCACUAUGGAAAUAUGACUAAAUAUUUCUGUGAGUCCACCACAACGUUUAUGCUCAUAUUAAAUGUUCAAUAAAUGGUUCUUGAU